This 253-nucleotide ribosomal RNA is filed under the name uncultured bacterium. Its description in RNAcentral is "partial 16S ribosomal RNA". It matches the Rfam family "Bacterial small subunit ribosomal RNA", at positions 524 to 776 of the family's 1533-position model. The record is from RNAcentral.
UACGGAGGGUGCAAGCGUUAUCCGGAUUCACUGGGUUUAAAGGGUGCGUAGGUGGGUAUGUAAGUCAGUGGUGAAAUCCCCGAGCUCAACUUGGGAACUGCCGUUGAUACUAUAUAUCUUGAAUGUCGUAGAGGUAAGCGGAAUAUGUCAUGUAGCGGUGAAAUGCUUAGAGAUGACAUAGAACACCAAUUGCGAAGGCAGCUUACUAUGCGAAUAUUGACACUGAGGCACGAAAGCGUGGGUAGCAAACAGG